AUUGAAAAAAAAUAAUAAUAAUAAAAGUACUAAACUCACGCUAAUAUGUCAAACAUAAAGAAAUUUAAAACAUCUAAAAAUUACAAGUUGAAUAUGUUCAAAAGUAACAUAAUUAGUUAUUGAAGAAAAGAAACAAUCAUAAUAAAGAGAGCCAAAAUUUGCCAAGGACUGAAUUGCAAAAAUUGAAAACUUUUGGGGGACAAAAAUUAUAUUUUCCAAAGUUCAGGGGUCAAAAUUAAAUGAAAGAUAAAAUUCAGGGACCAAAGUGAAAUUAGUAUAAGGACCGAGUUGAAAAUAAUUUAAAGUGUUAUGGGCCGUAGUAAAACUACUCCAAAGAUCAGGGGCCAAAGUGCAAAAUUCAGUUUCUGAUUUGGGAGAAGAAAGGCCAUCGGGCCGUUAUUUUUAUUUAUUUGGGCCGGAUACUACCUAAGCCCAACCAAAACCCAAAAGAAACGAGCAGGCCAGCCCGUAUUUUUAUCCCUCAAACCCAACCAAAAAAAACAUGGGCUCCCACCUUCUAGCCAAACCAAAAAAUAAGAAACAAGCCCACUAAAAAAAAAAA
Molecule: long non-coding RNA, 562 nt
Filed under: Coffea arabica (coffee)
Lineage: Eukaryota; Viridiplantae; Streptophyta; Magnoliopsida; Gentianales; Rubiaceae
Description: long non-coding RNA (CARA_LNC003474)
Source: RNAcentral